UUGAACGCUGGCGGCAUGCUUUACACAUGCAAGUCGAACGACAGCGCGGGCUUCGGCCUGGCGGCGAGUGGCGAACGGGUGAGUAAUGCAUCGGAACGUGCCCAGUAGUGGGGGAUAGCCCGGCGAAAGCCGGAUUAAUACCGCAUACGACCUGAGGGUGAAAGCAGGGGACCGAAAGGCCUCGCGCUAUUGGAGCGGCCGAUGUCGGAUUAGCUAGUUGGUGGGGUAAAGGCUUACCAAGGCGACGAUCCGUAGCUGGUCUGAGAGGACGACCAGCCACACUGGGACUGAGACACGGCCCAGACUCCUACGGGAGGCAGCAGUGGGGAAUUUUGGACAAUGGGGGCAACCCUGAUCCAGCCAUGCCGCGUGCGGGAAGAAGGCCUUCGGGUUGUAAACCGCUUUUGUUCGGGAAGAAAUCCUCUGGGCUAAUACCCCGGGGGGAUGACGGUACCGGAAGAAUAAGCACCGGCUAACUACGUG
Molecule: ribosomal RNA, 483 nt
Filed under: uncultured bacterium
Lineage: Bacteria
Description: partial 16S ribosomal RNA
Rfam family: Bacterial small subunit ribosomal RNA
Source: RNAcentral